GGGGGGGGGGGGGGGGGGGGCGGGUGGGGGCGGGUGGGGGGAAGAGGUGCGGGGCGUGCUCCUUUGACGUUGGCGGCGGGCGGGUGGGUAACACGUGGGUAACCUACCUAUAAGGCUGGGCUCACUUCGGGCAACCGGGGCUAAUACCGGAUAAUAUUUCGAACCGCAUGGUUCGAUAUGGACAGGUGGUUUUGCUCUCACUUAUAGAUGGACACGGGCCGGCAUAGCUCGUUGGUAAGGUAACGGCUUACCAAGGAGACGAUACGUAGCCGACGUGAGAGGGUGAUCGGCCACACUGGAACUGAGACACGGUCCAGACGCCUACGGGAGGCAGAAGUAGGGAAUCUGCCGCAAUGGGCGAAAGCCUGACGGAGCAACGCCGCGUGAGUGAUGAAGGUCUUCGGAUCGUAAAACGCUGUUAUUAGGGAAGAACAUACGUGUAAGUAACUGUGCACGUCUUGACGGUACCUAAUCAGAAAGCCACGGCUAACUACGUG
This 497-nucleotide ribosomal RNA is filed under the name uncultured bacterium. Its description in RNAcentral is "partial 16S ribosomal RNA". The stretch from base 51 to 497 matches the Rfam family "Bacterial small subunit ribosomal RNA", at positions 39 to 507 of the family's 1533-position model. The record is from RNAcentral.